Molecule: ribosomal RNA, 509 nt
Filed under: Glomus sp. Glo1B
Lineage: Eukaryota; Fungi; Glomeromycota; Glomeromycetes; Glomerales; Glomeraceae
Description: SSU rRNA
Rfam family: Eukaryotic small subunit ribosomal RNA
Source: RNAcentral
AGCAGCCGCGGUAAUUCCAGCUCCAAUAGCGUAUAUUAAAGUUGUUGCAGUUAAAAAGCUCGUAGUUGAAUUACGGGAUCAAUAUUUCGGUCAUGCCGUUGGUAUGCACUGUUAUCAUUGAUUUCUCACCUUCUAAAGAACCGUAAUGCCAUUAAUUUGGUGUUACGGGGAAUUAGGACUGUUACCUUGAAAAAAUUAUAGUGUUUAAAGCAGGCUCACGCUUGAAUACAUUAGCAUGGAAUAAUGAAAUAGGACAUCCGAUUCUAUUUUGUUGGUUUCUAGGAUCNAUGUAAUGAUUAAUAGGGAUAGUUGGGGGCAUUAGUAUUCAAUUGUCAGAGGUGAAAUUCUUGGAUUUAUUGAAGACUAACUACUGCGAAAGCAUUUGCCAAGGAUGUUUUCAUUAAUCAAGAACGAAAGUUAGGGGAUCGAAGACGAUCAGAUACCGUCGUAGUCUUAACCAUAAACUAUGCCGACUAGGGAUCGGAUGAUGUUUAUUUUUUAAUGACUCA